CGAAAGUUCACAGCUUGAACUCGACACCCCAAAAAACUUUAUAUUUUUUGUUGGCUGUUUUUAUCGGUUGCUGUUUGAUCUGAGUCUCCCUGGAGAAAAAAAGAAAAAAAAAACUGCGAUUGAAAUAGAUCAUAAUCGAAUAAACUCUGCCUCUACAACAUUAGAAGAUUUCCAAUUUGAGUACCAAGUUGAUGAUUUUUUUAAAAAACGGUCAUACUCAUACACAACCAACGAAUUAUGAAGAACUCGCCGACCGAAACCACAUUAGAACAAGUUUGUGAUGCUGAAUUACUGCAGCUAGAGGGAAUCAAAAUUGUGAAAACCCGAGCGGAACUACUCGAUGUUUUACUAAACGAUGAAAUCACUCUUCCACCGGGCAUCUAUCUCCUUUUUAAAACCGUAUCUAGAACAGCUCAAGAGAAGAAUCGUCCGGUUUCAUACGGUGGCAUUUUUCCAGAACCGGGUUGACUAUUCGUAACUGAAUGUUCUACCAGCUGUCUCGUAGAGAAACGAGAAUAUGAAUCCGGAAGAUGCGCAACAGUUCUAAGGAGUGAAAGUUCCGGAAAUGCAUCCGAAUCCUCGGCCAAGAAAUUAAAACCAUCUUCUUAAAAAAAGUUGAAGAGAAUAUGUUUCGGAAAAUAUUUACAAGAAAAGCUAAAAUUAAUAUUUCAAUAAACAUAUGUUUUAAACGAAAAACAUUUUUUGCAUUGAAGACAUUUAUUACUCUUUUUGUAUGUUUGUCUAGUUAAAAUAUAUAUCGUUUUCCGUUCAAACGGCAUUCUCGAUUUUGGGGUGUGAGAAUAGGACUUCAUUCUCAAGUUUGGGAAAACCCCCUUAAACUCAUUU
Molecule: long non-coding RNA, 846 nt
Organism: Uranotaenia lowii
Lineage: Eukaryota; Metazoa; Arthropoda; Insecta; Diptera; Culicidae
Exons: 3
Source: RefSeq, a predicted model, not a curated record